RNAcentral lists this ribosomal RNA (465 nucleotides) under Vreelandella stevensii. Its description in RNAcentral is "partial 16S ribosomal RNA". It matches the Rfam family "Bacterial small subunit ribosomal RNA", at positions 338 to 795 of the family's 1533-position model. The record is from RNAcentral. Lineage: Bacteria; Pseudomonadati; Pseudomonadota; Gammaproteobacteria; Oceanospirillales; Halomonadaceae.
CCUACGGGUGGCUGCAGUGGGGAAUAUUGGACAAUGGGCGAUAGCCUGAUCCAGCCAUGCCGCGUGUGUGAAGAAGGCCUUCGGGUUGUAAAGCACUUUCAGUGGGGAAGAAAGCCUUGGGGCUAAUACCCUCGAGGAAGGACAUCACCCACAGAAGAAGCACCGGCUAACUCCGUGCCAGCAGCCGCGGUAAUACGGAGGGUGCGAGCGUUAAUCGGAAUUACUGGGCGUAAAGCGCGCGUAGGCGGUCUGAUAAGCCGGUUGGGAAAGCCCCGGGCUCAACCUGGGAACGGCAUCCGGAACUGUCAGGCUAGAGUGCAGGAGAGGAAGGUAGAAUUCCCGGUGUAGCGGUGAAAUGCGUAGAGAUCGGGAGGAAUACCAGUGGCGAAGGCGGCCUUCUGGACUGACACUGACGCUGAGGUGCGAAAGCGUGGGUAGCAAACAGGAUUAGAUACCCCUGUAGUC